RNA transcript from Elaeis guineensis (African oil palm), 2751 nucleotides. It is a transcript of the gene named sec-independent protein translocase protein TATC, chloroplastic, with no coding region annotated. Lineage: Eukaryota; Viridiplantae; Streptophyta; Magnoliopsida; Arecales; Arecaceae. The record is from RefSeq and is a predicted model, not a curated record.
GGGGGGGUGUGUUGGUGUUGCGGUGGAGUGGAGAGGCGGUCAUAAUAUCUGGCGCUAGCCAUUUCUGGCUCACCUCCUAAACGAAAAAGAGUGGAGAAGCCGCUCCUAAAAGAAGAAGAGAAAGCCCAGUCCAUAGGAAGAGUGAGAGAGAAAGAGAGACAGAUGGGAAGCACGGUUCUGCUCUCCCAUCCACAACUUAGCAGCUGCUUCCGCCGCCUCGAUCCGGCCAAGCAGCACCGUUACGCUGCCCCACGGAUCAAAGCAGCGCCCUUCCCGAGCUCUCCACGCAGGCAUCGCCGGAUCCUCCGCUCCGCUCUCGAAGACGACGGCAGAGAGGGGCAGCAGCAGCCGCAGCCGCAGCCGCCGUUGGGCGGUGUUGGGGCCACCGUCGAGGAAAGACCUGCAGAGAACUUCCAAGAAGACUCCCCAGAAAGCAUCAAGCAAGAUAAUGGGCAAAGCGAUCUCUAUAAUCUUCUUUAUCCUAGCAAAGAGCUUCUCCCUGAUGAUAAAGAGAUGAGCAUUUCUGACCAUUUAGAAGAGCUUCGCCAGAGAAUAUUUCUCUCUGUUUUGGCUGUAGGAGCUGCUAUCUUAGGUUGCUUUGCUUUUUCAAAGGAUUUAAUAUUGCUCCUUGAAGCACCUGUAAGUGCUCAGGGAGUUCGCUUUCUGCAACUAUCUCCUGGGGAGUUUUUCUUUACAACUCUGAAGGUAUCUGGUUACUGUGGGCUGCUUCUGGGGAGUCCUGUUAUCCUCUAUGAGAUCAUAGCAUUUGUUCUUCCUGGUUUAACAAGGGAUGAGAGAAGGUUCCUAGGCCCUAUUGUCCUGGGCUCGUCGGUGCUUUUUUAUGCUGGCAUUGCUUUCUCCUAUUCAAUUCUAACUCCAGCAGCCUUAAAUUUCUUUGUCAGCUAUGCGGAAGGGGCAGUGGAAUCGUUAUGGUCUAUUGAUCAAUACUUUGAGUUUGUCCUCGUGCUUAUGUUCAGCACAGGACUGUCCUUUCAGGUUCCGGUUAUACAGCUCUUGUUGGGACAGAUUGGUUUGGUGUCUGGCGACCAAAUGCUCUCCAUCUGGAGAUACGUUGUGGUUGGCGCUGUUGUUGCUGCUGCUGUGCUUACACCAUCAACUGACCCCUUGACCCAGAUACUGUUGGCAGGGCCACUGUUAGGUCUCUACUUAGGUGGUGCAUGGAUGGUGAAGCUAGUUGGCCGUUAACUGCUUUACCUAAUGCAUAAUUUGCAUUCAAAUGGGUCUACAAAAAGCCAUGAUGUAUCAUUAGCACACAAGAGCCUUCCCAUUUCAGAUACCACAUCAUCACCCAAUCUACUCUCCAGUUUGCCCAAGGAAUUCUCCGGUCCUUCAAAAGGCCUGAAACACAUCUCCAAACGAGCCUUGAAGGCUCCCAACUUCUGCAUGCAUCUCAUCGACUCCGUGGUGCAUCCUUUUUGAUAUCAUCUUCAUUUGAGAGAUCUCCUGCGGAAGGUAACCAGAAGCUCCAAGCUCAUCAACCUGCGCUCCCAUCUCUUGGCGGUAGCUCGGCAAUUUCUCUAAUGAAUCAACGUAAUCCUCGGUGCUAACUCUCACGAAUACUUGAGCGAGUGAAAGCUAAGAAAGAGUAUCUCUCUAUGACAGUAAGUGUAUCCAGCGCCACGCCAAUGGCUAACUCAGCAAUGCCCAUCUUCUGGGGUUAUCACCAAGGUCAUCCUCAAUCAAACCACCCUCUUCAUCAGAGUCAUGCAUCUUCUCAGCAGCGUCAUCGGAAGUUCCAUCUGCCGAGUCAUCGUCAGCACGCUAGAGUUCUCUCAUCUCCCGAAGGACAUCCUUAAUUAAGAUUGCAACAUCUGCCAUGGCCCACACUAUGCCAGGUAAGUCUUAUUUGAGGGCAUCACAUGCUUCCGAAGCUCAGCCUGAUCGCUUGGGGAUUGAUAUUUCUUGUUGGAACUGCUAGAGUCUGCACAAAAUCCAUCAAAAAGAUUUGACGGUUUUAUUUUCAAUCUGGGAGCUAGUUUGUGCCUGAACAUAACGUAAAGCUUUCCUUCUACAAAUGGAGAAAACCUCAUUUGAUGCAAACAUGUAUCGAGUUGAUCAAGAAGCCGAAGGUAAUCUGAAGCAUAUGAUUAUUUGGACAAGAUAUUCUCCAAUCUAAUUCUCAAUUCGCGGUUGUAAUUUUUUUAUCCAACAUGAUCAUCCCAAUUCUGUCUCCGUUGGUGGCGGUGAAAGCAAGAAAUAUUGAAUCUAAUACUGUGGGAUUUUGAAAAAUUUUGGACAUUUUGAACAUUGAAAAGAAAUUUUUAAGGUGAGAGAAAUGCAUACCACGAGAGGAGACUGCUUCCCUUAGCGGUGCAAUGCUGCGAUCGAUUACUUGUUUUGCAGCAGCGCGGAUGCUUGCAUGGAGGGUUGGCUCGGCACCCACGGUGCUACCAGGGCAAAAUGGAACUCAUGAAGCACGUUGCAGUACGCCCCAGUAUUCUCCUCCAGUGCUUUCACCUCAGGUAUUUCUCCACUCCAAAGCAUUCCAGUUGCACAACGGCAAAAACAGAAGGAACAACAAUUUGAUCAUACAUCUAUAAAGUUUAGAAGUAUCAUGGUAUAUAAAUUUCUUUCUCUUUUUUUUUUUGAUGGUAUCUGCUAAGAUCAUCUUACAAGCUAUAAGGUCUAGGGUUAUUAAAUUGAUGAAAUAUGACAAACCCUAGCGAUUUGUCUUUUUGGUCAAUAAUAGAUUACUAAGUUUGUGGUUAAUAACAGAUACAUGGGAGGGAA